RNAcentral lists this ribosomal RNA (402 nucleotides) under uncultured bacterium. RNAcentral's name for it is "bacterial SSU rRNA". It matches the Rfam family "Bacterial small subunit ribosomal RNA", at positions 29 to 431 of the family's 1533-position model. The record is from RNAcentral.
AUUGAACGCUGGCGGAAUGCUUUACACAUGCAAGUCGAACGGCAGCACGGGGCAACCUGGUGGCGAGUGGCGAACGGGUGAGUAAUACAUCGGAACGUGCCCAAUCGUGGGGGAUAACGUAGCGAAAGUUACGCUAAUACCGCAUACGACCUGAGGGUGAAAGCGGGGGACCGAAAGGCCUCGCGCGAUUGGAGCGGCCGAUGGCAGAUUAGGUAGUUGGUGGGGGUAAAAGGCCCACCAAGCCUGCGAUCUGUAGCUGGUCUGAGAGGACGACCAGCCACACUGGGACUGAGACACGGCCCAGACUCCUACGGGAGGCAGCAGUGGGGAAUUUUGGACAAUGGGCGCAAGCCUGAUCCAGCCAUACCGCGUGCGGGAAGAAGGGCCUUCGGGUUGUAACGC